AACGCACAUUGCGCCCGCCAGUAUUCUGGCGGGCAUGCCUGUUCGAGCGUCAUUACAACCCUCAGGCCCCCGGGCCUGGCGUUGGGGAUCGGCGAGGCGCCCCCUGUGGGCACGCGCCGUCCCCUAAAUACAGUGGCGGUCCCGCCGCAGCUUCCAUUGCGUAGUAGCUAACACCUCGCACUGGAGAGCGGCGCGGCCAUGCCGUGAAACACCCAACUUCUGAAUGUUGACCUCGAAUCAGGUAGGAAUACCCGCUGAACUUAA
This 264-nucleotide unclassified non-coding RNA is filed under the name uncultured fungus. RNAcentral's name for it is "sequence contains ITS2". The stretch from base 1 to 52 matches the Rfam family "5.8S ribosomal RNA", at positions 103 to 154 of the family's 154-position model. Lineage: Eukaryota; Fungi. The record is from RNAcentral.